UACGAGAGCCUCAAGCGUUAUCCGGAAUUAUUGGGCGUAAAGGGUGUGUAGGCGGUAAUGUUAGUCUCAUGUCAAAGCCUGUCGCCAAACGACAGAUCCGCAUGGGAAACGGCAUAACUAGGAGGGUGCGAGAGGUGAAUGGAACUCACGGUGUAGGGGUGAAAUCCGUUGAUAUCGUGGGGAACGCCAAAAGCGAAGGCAAUUCACUGGCGCAUACCUGACGCUGAAACACGAAAGCCAGGGUAUCGAAUGGG
This 254-nucleotide ribosomal RNA is filed under the name uncultured bacterium. RNAcentral's name for it is "partial 16S ribosomal RNA". It matches the Rfam family "Bacterial small subunit ribosomal RNA", at positions 524 to 776 of the family's 1533-position model. The record is from RNAcentral.